Pseudonaja textilis is the source of this 83-nucleotide non-coding RNA. NCBI's taxonomy places the organism in Eukaryota, Metazoa, Chordata, Lepidosauria, Squamata, Elapidae. The record is from RefSeq and is a predicted model, not a curated record.
CCUGGUGUUUUAUUGUUUUUUCUGGUUUCUAAUUGCUUGAUUUAAUUCUGCUAUUGUUAUCUCUUUAUUUAGCAGUUCUGUUU